GUACAGGUCUUUUGUACAGGUCUUUUGCAGCUGAAAGCUGUGAACAAGAGUGUUGUUGCCCAGCUAUGCCCAGUCUUUCAAAUGCAACCCUUUCUGGAGUGUGAAGCCUUAGUGAAGGCAACUCACACCUAUAUCACCUUGAGACUGAAUGGCUGCAACAUGAUAUACACAAGGCUGCAAAUAAGGGAUUUGCAGAACUUGAAGCUUUUGAAGACCCUUUCACCUGUAUCUGCAUCACUGCUUGAUCCAUAUCUUCAAAGCAUAUGAUCUUCAUCGGUUUAA
Molecule: long non-coding RNA, 282 nt
Organism: Crotalus tigris (Tiger rattlesnake)
Lineage: Eukaryota; Metazoa; Chordata; Lepidosauria; Squamata; Viperidae
Exons: 2
Source: RefSeq, a predicted model, not a curated record